AAUUUUGGACAAUGGGCGAAAGCCUGAUCCAGCAAUGCCGCGUGUGCGAAGAAGGCCUUCGGGUUGUAAAGCACUUUUGUCCGGGAAGAAAUCCGUCCGGCUAAUACCCAGAUGGGAUGACGGUACCGGAAGAAUAAGCACCGGCUAACUACGUGCCAGCAGCCGCGGUAAAACGUAGGGUGCGAGCGUUAAUCGGAAUUACUGGGCGUAAAGCGUGCGCAGGCGGCGAUGCAAGACAGGUGUGAAAUCCCCGGGCUUAACCUGGGAACUGCACUUGUGACUGCAUGGCUAGAGUGCGUCAGAGGGGGGUGGAAUUCCGCGUGUAGCAGUGAAAUGCGUAGAGAUGCGGAGGAACACCGAUGGCGAAGGCAGCCCCCUGGGAUGACACUGACGCUCAGGCACGAAAGCGUGGGGAGCAAAC
Molecule: ribosomal RNA, 421 nt
Filed under: uncultured bacterium
Lineage: Bacteria
Description: partial 16S ribosomal RNA
Rfam family: Bacterial small subunit ribosomal RNA
Source: RNAcentral